This 3459-nucleotide small RNA is filed under the name Pongo abelii (Sumatran orangutan). RNAcentral's name for it is "retained intron". The record is from RNAcentral. Lineage: Eukaryota; Metazoa; Chordata; Mammalia; Primates; Hominidae.
GCCGCCAUUUUGUGGGGUGUUUGUCGCAGCGGCCGAGGAGGGAAGACGGCAGUUUGGCGACAUUUCUCGGCCGAAGGGCCAUUUGCUUUUGCGGAGAUGCGGCAUUCCAAAAGAACUCACUGUCCUGAUUGGGAUAGCAGAGAAAGCUGGGGACAUGAAAGCUACCGUGGAAGUCACAAGCGGAAGAGGAGAUCUCAUAGUAGCACACAAGAGAACAGGCAUUGUAAACCACAUCACCAGUUUAAAGAAUCUGAUUGUGCUCCAUGUGCAUCCCUCUUGAAGCUUCGCACUCUGUUGAAGAGGACACUCAUCCCAGUCAUUAUUUAGAAGCAAGGUCCUUGAAUGAGCGAGAUUAUCGGGACCGGAGAUACGUUGACGAGUACAGGAAUGACUACUGUGAAGGAUAUGUUCCUAGACAUUAUCACAGAGACAUUGAAAACGGUUAUCGAAUCCACUGCAGUAAAUCUUCAGUCCGCAGCAGGAGAAGCAGUCCUAAAAGGAAGCGCAAUAGACACUGUUCAAGUCAUCAGUCACGUUCGGUAUGAUUGGUUUUGUUUUUAAUUUGAGUGGAGUUUUAUUUGUGUGUACUCUUAAUGAGCUGAUAAGUUUCUAAUUUUUUAUAUAUGUAUAUAAAAUACUAUUUGGAUAUAUUAUAAUUGUAUUUAUAUUACUUAAAUCCUUAAAGGAAAUCUCCAAAUUCUUGUAGCUGAUCUGUAUAUUUAUUAGCUAGCCCUCAUUUGCCCACAUUUCCUCAUAUUCUGCAGACCAGAUAAUGAGUUUAUUGAUUUUAAUAAUAAGAAUAUUUUUGUAUUUGUAACAUAUUCUUAUGAAAAAAUCACGCACCCAUAUCUUUUCUUUCAUCUUAAGCAUUUUUUUUUCUUAGAAAGCCUUUAUCUGGUACUUGAAAAUAAAUGUGAAACAUUGCACUGGUGGAUACCUAAAUGUUGCUAACCUGCAUAGAUUAUAGUUCCAUAGUACAGUGCAUCGUUGUCUGCAAUGCAUUCUUUUGAAGUUAUGAAAAUGGGUGCUGAAUGGGAAACAUCCAAAAAGUCUGCCCCCCCCACCUUUUUUUUUAACACUCGGACAUCUUCACCUGCUUGAACAGAGAACUUUGAAUUAGUUUCUCCCCAAGUUUUCUUCAGUAAAACUAGUUUUUAUUAGAUUGAACAUUGAAAUUAAAUAGCCUUUAUUUUCCCCUUUUAUUUUAAUCGUGUAUAUUUUAAAAUAUUGCUAAAUUAGAAUAAUUUCAAAUAGUCUUGACAUUUUAAAACAUUUUUCUGACAAACUAGACAUCUCAAUUCACAGCAUAUCCUAUUUAUAGCAAGAGAUAAGUAAAUCAUGACAUUGCAUUCUUUAAAUUUCAGACUUCAAUUAAAUCAGUAUUUUAAAGAGACAAUUGUGUUGUUUUUUUCUAUUGCAACUUUAAGUAUCUUAUCUGAAAAUCUGUUCCUUGCCAUGUUUUUCUUCUGUAACAUAAACUGUGCCCUGUGAAUUUCUGGGGACUGAAUUUGAAAUUGCUCCUGCCAACUGUUCGUGGCCUGGUGCUUAUCUGAAUGCCUGAAUAUCUCCCCGCUGAAUGAAUUGCGUAUUCUGCCCUGAAUUCACUCUGAUAUAUUGAUUGGCUGGACGAUCUUGGUGCUGCCCACUUGCCGUUCCAGAAGAGCCACCGAAGGAAAAGAUCCAGGAGUAUAGAGGAUGAUGAGGAGGGUCACCUGAUCUGUCAAAGUGGAGACGUUCUAAGAGCAAGAUGUAUAGAAUAUUUUUCAACACUUUUUAAACUUUGCAGAAAGAAUAAUCUUUUUAAGAAUAGUUUGUCAGCGGGGGGCUAAAGAACUCUUCAUUGCUUUUUUAUUUUGUUUUUUGUGGGUUUGUUUGUUCUUUUGUAUUUCUUCUUUUCUGUAGAAUUUAAAUAUUUCUAUUCUAAAGUUCCAAAAUAAUAGUGGAAUUUGAGAUUAGAGCAAGAAAGAUAGCUCUAUCUAAUUGUUUUUGUAGCAGCUGAAACUAAAAUAAUUUGAGUGCUGAAACCUUAGUUAUGCUUUGAUAGAGAUCAUUUGAAAAUAUUCCACACUUAAGCAUUCAUUGUUUGAAUUACUAGACAAUUUGUACUCAGGUACUUACACCUCUUUUUCCCUCCUCACUUUAGAUGAAAUCGUGGACACUUUGGGUGAAGGAGCCUUUGGCAAAGUUGUAGAGUGCAUUGAUCAUGGCAUGGAUGGCAUGCAUGUAGCAGUGAAAAUCGUAAAAAAUGUAGGCCGUUACCGUGAAGCAGCUCGUUCAGAAAUCCAAGUAUUAGAGCACUUAAAUAGUACUGAUCCCAAUAGUGUCUUCCGAUGUGUCCAGAUGCUAGAAUGGUUUGAUCAUCAUGGUCAUGUCUGUAUUGUGUUUGAACUGCUGGGACUUAGUACUUAUGAUUUCAUUAAAGAAAACAGCUUUCUGCCAUUUCAAAUUGACCACAUCAGGCAGAUGGCGUAUCAGAUCUGCCAGUCAAUAAAUUUUUUACAUCAUAAUAAAUUAACCCAUACAGAUCUGAAGCCUGAAAAUAUUUUAUUUGUGAAGUCUGACUAUGUAGUCAAAUAUAAUUCUAAAAUGAAACGUGAUGAACGCACACUGAAAAACACAGAUAUCAAAGUUGUUGACUUUGGAAGUGCAACGUAUGAUGAUGAACAUCACAGUACUUUGGUGUCUACCCGGCACUACAGAGCUCCCGAGGUCAUUUUGGCUUUAGGUUGGUCUCAGCCUUGUGAUGUUUGGAGCAUAGGUUGCAUUCUUAUUGAAUAUUACCUUGGUUUCACAGUCUUUCAGACUCAUGAUAGUAAAGAGCACCUGGCAAUGAUGGAACGAAUAUUAGGACCUAUACCACAACACAUGAUUCAGAAAACAAGAAAACGCAAGUAUUUUCACCAUAACCAGCUAGAUUGGGAUGAACACAGUUCUGCUGGUAGAUAUGUUAGGAGACGCUGCAAACCAUUAAAGGAAUUUAUGCUUUGUCAUGAUGAAGAACAUGAGAAACUGUUUGACCUGGUUCGAAGAAUGUUAGAAUAUGAUCCAACUCAAAGAAUUACCUUGGAUGAAGCAUUGCAGCAUCCUUUCUUUGACUUAUUAAAAAAGAAAUGAAAUGGGAAUCAGUGGUCUUACUAUAUACUUCUCUAGAAGAGAUUACUUAAGACUGUGUCAGUCAACUAAACAUUCUAAUAUUUUUGUAAACAUUAAAUUAUUUUGUACAGUUAAGUGUAAAUACUGUAUGUUUUGUAUCAAUAGCAUAAUUAACUUGUUAAGCAAGUAUGGUCUUGAUAAUGCAGUAGAAAAAUUAAAAUUAAUUUUUCUUUUUGAAAUUACCAUUUUUAAAUACCUUUGAAAUAUCCUUUGUGUCCAGUGACAAAUGUGAUUGAUCUUGCCUUUUGUACAUGGAGGUCACCUCUGAAGUGAUUUUUUUUGAGUAAAAGGAAAUCUUGACUACUU